Long non-coding RNA from Triticum aestivum (bread wheat), 3496 nucleotides. RefSeq lists it as uncharacterized. The transcript is spliced from 5 exons. NCBI's taxonomy places the organism in Eukaryota, Viridiplantae, Streptophyta, Magnoliopsida, Poales, Poaceae. The record is from RefSeq and is a predicted model, not a curated record.
CGACCCUCCUUUCGUUCUCAAGGUCGCACGCUCCCACCCCCACCUGGCGGCUGGGAGCGACCGAUGCGAGAGCGACGACUCCGACGGCGUCCCCGCUGGGUUCGGACAGAGGCGACUCACUCGAGCGAUAGGGUCACGUCUCCGAGCAACGCGACGGGGAGCUGGUGGGGUUAAAAAUGAAGCAUCAACCACAAUUGGAGUCGAUUCGCCGGUGAUUGAAGAUGCAAAUCGUAGUUGAUGCAGCCAAUUACUGGCAGUAGAUGCUCUGGCCAUCGAUAAUUGCAGCCAUGGUUGGCGUGUAGGUCGAGGAUUCAUCUUCCCCUUUCUGUCAGUCCUCCACUCUCUCCUUCGAAUUCCGAUGGCUCGUGAUUCAUUAAGUUUUUAAUUUCUGGGAAUCUCUUUUGCUGGACCAGAAAUUCGAAGGCACAUCCUCUGUAUCUAUACUGGUUGAACUGGGAUGGUACACCAGAGAAAUCUCUUCGUAUUUCACAUGCAGACAUGCUUGCCUUUUACUACAUCCCUGAGCAGAAGCUCAUAUGUGGGCCCCUACUCAUGUUGAGCCACGAAGCAAGGAAGGAUGAGUGGUUGAACUACUGAUCACAUGGUCCCUCUGAUUUAGUAUGAUUCAACCCGUUGUUGGGGAAGAGACGUGAGAUCGUAUCCAACAUUGUGACCAGGUCGAGGGAUCAAUUCCUUUGUGCUAUCGCCAGGAAAUAAAUUGACCUGUCUCUCGUGAGAAAUUUCUCCUAUGAGAUUUAAUUUCACAUAUUCAGUACAUGGACGGCUAGGUGAUUUUGUGGCUGCUUGCUACAGAUGAUUUGUCCCUACAAAUUUUUAGGAUUCAUGGGCAUUGACCCUGCUCAAGGCAUAUAACAUGGAGCGAUCUGUUAAUGCCGUUGGCAUAUCUUCUCCACUUGGUCAUGUAUGCUCCUGUAUCCGAGACUUCAGUCAUAUCACUGCCCAUAUGCGCAGGUCCCUAAGUUGUUGUGAGCAGUUCUGCAUACAGUGUGAUUUUGAACACUGAUGAUAUUUUUAAGUGGGUUCGUUCCAUGCUAAAAAACUGUAUCUUCCUCAUGUGUAAAUAUUUGAAGAUGACAAGCACUCAUGAUAUGUCGCUUUUUCCAUUUGCCUUCUGAUUUUUUUUCUCGAAUUGGACUGCAUACUCUUUGAUUGUACAUAAUUUAGUCUUCAACGUCACUUUCUUCUGUCCUGUGCCCAUAUAGUUCACACUUUCAAGUCUUGAAUUCUUGAUGCCUUUAGCUUUGCUAAGGUAUUUUUGUCAAAUACUCCCUCUGUAAACUAACAUAAGAGCUUUUAGAUCACUAAAGUAGUGAUCUAAACGCUCUUAUAUUAGUUUACGGAGGUAGUACAAGAGAGUAACCAAUGAUUCCCUGUGUAGGUUUUUUUUGAUAAAAUAACAAGCACAAAUGGUUAUGCGAUAAGAUAGAUUUGUGUGAAGAGACUUAGUUUUUAUAUGGUGGAACAUUGCCACUGUAAUUCUUUUGAGGUACAUUAUGCAUGCAGAUUGUAUCCUGACCUGUGCACAAGACCUUGCUAUUUCUUCUAGGCUUCAGUCGAAAAAAUUGGAAUUAAAGGCAUUUUGUAUUGAUGAAUGCAUCGGAAUUUAAUCCUGAUGGUCAGAUUUAUGUUCUUAUUCCUAUAUUGUUUUGCAUUUAUAUGGUUAUAUCAAUCUUACGCAUUUUCCUGUUGACACAGUACAAUUCAUGUUCAAAUAUGGAUCCAGUAAAACCGGAAUGACCAAAAGAACUCAAAAAGUAGUUGAUUUUUGUUAAGCAUACUGCUUUUUUAUUUUAGAAUUUAGUUUUGAAAAUGGAGAGAUAUACUGUGCAUUUUUUUGGUUUCCAGGAUAAGGGAUAGCAUGAGCCUGACAAUGACAAAUUAAUUUGUGAGCCUCCUUCCACAAACAUCUAGCUGUAUCAAGCACCAACCUUAAGGACGUGUAUCAAGCAAUAGCUCGUAAUUUGUCCUUGGAAAGUUGACGAAACUCAGCCGUCAUUUUCAGUUGCUCCUAUGCAAAUAAAGCCUAAAUUUGCACCUUUUGAUGCUGGUGAUUAUCAGAGAAAGCAGAUGCACUGGAAAGUUUAUACAGAACUAAGCUAGAGAGAGCAAGAUUUUAUAUGAAAUGUUAAGGAUGCUAAUUUGGUGGAAAUCAGGAAGCAAAGCUAUGCCUGCACUUAUGGUUGAUAUCAAAAUUAUCUACCCCUCCUUUUGACGUUAAAUAGCUGACACGUGUUUUACUGCCCUGCCUAUACUGUGGUGUAUGAUAUGCUCACUUAACAUUAGGUGUAUGCAUGUAACCAAAACCUAUCACAUAUCAGUAUACCUUGGUCUAUUGUUUUGGAUGGUACAAGCUAUGUAAAUUCUACUGGGUCAUACAGUGCUAACUUGUGUUUUCCAACAAACUUCAAAGUAGAACGUGAGCUGUUAGAUUGUUCUGCUGCAUAUAAAAUAUUGCCUGCAAUACUAUAGUUAGUCUACAUCGAACCAUCUGGCUGAUGCUAUUUCUCAAUGUUAGAAGAAUUAUAACAAUAGUACAAAACGAGUUCGCAGUGUUACCUGAAACUUAGUGUGAAAUACUCCAAAUAUUUUUGUUGCCUAUUAGUCCAUAUAUUUAUAAAAUUCCUCUCUUUGAUUACUAACAAUAUAAUAGACGGGUGCAACAACGCGCGCCUUCAUGGUCUAGUAAUUAUAUGAUGAUGUGACAUGCUUGCAUGAUGAGAUAAAUAAGUUAGUGGGAUCACUCUCUAGGUAUAUAUAUGAUACAUAGGUGGGAGGUAAUCUCAGCAAUUCAAACUAUUUUAGUGAAAAGGUAGAUUCAUUAUGGAUGGAUUCUGAUUUUAUAUGAAGUUUUGAAUAGCAUUCAUGUCAAAAAUAAAAGUGCUUUGGUUUUUAAAGUUGAUUUUGAGAAAGGCACAUGACAAAAUUUUAUGGCCUUUUGUUAUGCAAAUGAUGAAAAUGAAAAGAUUCCCUGAUAACUAGAUAGAUUGCAUUAUGCAUACCAUUAGAGGGAGCAUGUUGGGGUUAAGAUCGAUGAUAAUAUUGGAAAUAUUUCUCAACUCACAAAGGGUUGAUACGUCUCCAACGUAUCUAUAGUUUUUGAUUGUUCCAUGCUAUUAUAUUAUCUGUUUUGGAUGUUUUAUAUGCAUUAAUAUGCUAUUUUACAUUAUUUUUGGGACUAACCUAUUAACCUAGAGCCUAGUGCCACCUUCUGUUUUUUUCCUUGUUUUUGAGUUUUAUACAAAAGGAACAUCAAACGGAGUCCAAAUGAGCUGAAAAUUUACAGUGAUUUUUUAUGGACCAAAAGAGACCCCCGAAGCAUCGGAGCUAGACGAGAAGAGUCCCGAGGAGUCCACAAGCCAGGGGCGCGCCCUACCCCCUGGGCGUGCCCUGAGGGCUUGUGGGCCCCUCGAGCACCUCCUUGACUUGUUUCCGACGCCAAAAAUUCUUGUAAAUAUAGAAGCCUCCAGAAAGAAAC